RNAcentral lists this ribosomal RNA (492 nucleotides) under uncultured bacterium. Its description in RNAcentral is "partial 16S ribosomal RNA". It matches the Rfam family "Bacterial small subunit ribosomal RNA", at positions 29 to 507 of the family's 1533-position model. The record is from RNAcentral.
AGUGAACGCUGGCGGUAGGCCUAACACAUGCAAGUCGAACGGCAGCACAGUAAGAGCUUGCUCUUACGGGUGGCGAGUGGCGGACGGGUGAGGAAUAAAUCGGAAUCUACUUUUUCGUGGGGGAUAACGUAGGGAAACUUACGCUAAUACCGCAUACGACCUUCGGGUGAAAGCAGGGGAUCUUCGGACCUUGCGCGAUUGAAUGAGCCGAUGUCGGAUUAGCUAGUUGGCGGGGUAAAGGCCCACCAAGGCGACGAUCCGUAGCUGGUCUGAGAGGAUGAUCAGCCACACUGGAACUGAGACACGGUCCAGAGUCCUACGGGAGGCAGCAGUGGGGAAUAUUGGACAAUAGGCGCAAGCCUGAUCCAGCCAUACUGCGUGGGUGAAGAAGGCCUUCUGGUUGUAAAGCCCUUUUGUUGGGAAAGAAAAGCAGCAGGUUAAUACCCCGCUGUUCUGACGGUACCCAAAGAAUAAGCACCGGCUAACUUCGUG